GAUGAACGCUGGCGGCGUGCCUAAUACAUGCAAGUCGAGCGAACAGAUGAGGAGCUUGCUCCUCUGACGUUAGCGGCGGACGGGUGAGUAACACGUGGAUAACCUACCUAUAAGACUGGGAUAACUUCGGGAAACCGGAGCUAAUACCGGAUAAUAUAUUGAACCGCAUGGUUCAAUAGUGAAAGACGGUUUUGCUGUCACUUAUAGAUGGAUCCGCGCCGCAUUAGCUAGUUGGUAAGGUAACGGCUUACCAAGGCAACGAUGCGUAGCCGACCUGAGAGGGUGAUCGGCCACACUGGAACUGAGACACGGUCCAUACUCCUACGGGAGGCAGCAGUAGGGAAUCUUCCGCAACGGGCGAAAGCCUGACGGAGCAACGCCGCGUGAGUGAUGAAGGUCUUCGGAUCGUAAAACUCUGUUAUUAGGGAAGAACAAAUGUGUAAGUAACUAUGCACGUCUUGACGGUACCUAAUCAGAAAGCCACGGCUAACUACGUG
Molecule: ribosomal RNA, 497 nt
Filed under: uncultured bacterium
Lineage: Bacteria
Description: partial 16S ribosomal RNA
Rfam family: Bacterial small subunit ribosomal RNA
Source: RNAcentral